UGUCUAGGGGUUCAAACCUGAAGAAGCUAAAUAUCUAAACGGAGAGAUUCAAUAUUGCUAGCUCUUAAAAAGCAGCAAUGUGCACUUCUCUCUUAGUAAGACGCUGUGAUCCAUUAGAAAUUGGAUUGUAACAACAAUCAUUUGGCUAUCAAUAGGUCAAUGUGAAGUUCAUUGAUACAAAUAAUUUGAUCAUUUUAAGGUUGAAUAUAUUGUUUAGUGAGCACAUUGUAAUCUGAUAAUAGCUGUCUGAUGGAUUUUAAAGGUCAUAUUAUUAAUGUAUUUAUACAUUACUCAUUUAUGAGAUUAAAUAUGUACCCGAUCAACAGCGGUUAAAUUUAGCAUACCUUCUGGACCCGUCUUGAAACACGGACCAAGGAGUCUAUCUAGUAUGCAAGUAAAUGAGUAUAUGAAACUUAUUUGCAUAAAAAACUUGACUGUUAUGGGACUACGAGUUAUAUUGUCUUUUCAAUAUAAUUCCUCCAUCCCGGGGUAUUUUUAUCAACAUAUACGUAUGUAUAUGAAAAAUAUACCAUGAGCAUACUGGAUAUGACCCGAAAGAUGGUGAACUAUGCCUGAUCAGGUUGAAGUCAGGGGAAACCCUGAUGGAGGACCGAAGCAAUUCUGACGUGCAAAUCGAUUGUCAGAAUUGGGCAUAGGGGCGAAAGACCAAUCGAACCAUC
RNAcentral lists this ribosomal RNA (680 nucleotides) under Clunio tsushimensis. RNAcentral's name for it is "partial large subunit ribosomal RNA". It matches the Rfam family "Eukaryotic large subunit ribosomal RNA", at positions 386 to 944 of the family's 3401-position model. Lineage: Eukaryota; Metazoa; Arthropoda; Insecta; Diptera; Chironomidae. The record is from RNAcentral.